This 292-nucleotide long non-coding RNA is filed under the name Gossypium barbadense (sea-island cotton). RNAcentral describes it as "long non-coding RNA (GBAR_LNC006451)". Lineage: Eukaryota; Viridiplantae; Streptophyta; Magnoliopsida; Malvales; Malvaceae. The record is from RNAcentral.
GUCAAAGGUCAUUUUAUCUGGGACUCUUGGACUGAAUAUUGACAUAAAAAUUUAAACUAAGUAAAUAAAUAAAUAAAAAUAAAAAUAAAACUUUACAACUUGGGCCACUUUGACAAUUUGGCCUAAUUUUCAACUAAGUAUGGAUGGAUUUCUUGAUUGGGCUGGGAAUUUGCUUAUUGGGCCUCGCCUUCAAGAAUUUGGGCUUUUGUGACUCGUAUCAUUCCCCCCUUCCUCAAAAAGAUUCGUCCUCGAAUCUGAAAAAUCAAAUGAACUCGACUUUCCUCUAUCGAAC